CUAGUACUCCCUCCGUCCGGUAUAUAAAAGAGGAUGUAUCUAGACGUAUUUUAGUUCUAGAUACAUCUGUUUUUAUCCAUUUUGAUGACAAGUAUUUUCGGACGGAGGGAGUACAAA
Triticum aestivum (bread wheat) is the source of this 117-nucleotide non-coding RNA. The record is from Rfam. NCBI's taxonomy places the organism in Eukaryota, Viridiplantae, Streptophyta, Magnoliopsida, Poales, Poaceae.